CCACCCAGGUCCCUGGCACCACCUUACCUUUUGCCCUUGAGGUGGAUGUCUUGCUCACCUCACCCUGUCCUCUGCCCUGAUGGGGCAGCACCACGUUGGCACCUGUGACUCGAGGGUUCCACGGUGGCCCUGGAGCGCCUGGUGGGGGACACUGUGCCACUGGAAAGGAGGACUGUGUACGGUACAGCAGAGGGUGCCCGAGAGAACCGUGGCCGUACCCAGACGGAUGCGGUGGAUGCACCAGCGCCCAAGAUACACUGGAGAUGGAUGAGAAGCGGUGGGCAAACGAAAGGCAAACAUCCGCGGAUGCCAUGGGCCAGCGGCACUCUGGCCUGGGCAGGACCCGCCCAGCCGUCCGUAUCUGGUCUGCAAGGAGCCCUCUCAGACUGAGGCAGACGGCACUGACCUUGCCUUGAACUUCACAUCCCGCCGGCGCUCUCCAUGGCCCUCAGGUGCACCCUCAUGCCCGACUCACUCCUUCGUAAGGUUCAGCUGCUUUGACCCCUGUGCACCCAGAGCUGAUGGGGACUCUAUUUGUCAGAAUCAACUUGAAGUGAGUGAGCGAACUUAACAGGUGUUUAUUUGAAGAAAUCCGCACCCUGAGGGAUGCCUGGGGGGCUCAGUUGGUUGAGUGUCUG
Suricata suricatta (meerkat) is the source of this 638-nucleotide long non-coding RNA. RefSeq lists it as uncharacterized. The record is from RefSeq and is a predicted model, not a curated record. The transcript has 3 exons. NCBI's taxonomy places the organism in Eukaryota, Metazoa, Chordata, Mammalia, Carnivora, Herpestidae.